GACGAACGCUGGCGGCGUGCCUAAUACAUGCAAGUAGAACGCUGAAGGAGGAGCUUGCUUCUCUGGAUGAGUUGCGAACGGGUGAGUAACGCGUAGGUAACCUGCCUGGUAGCGGGGGAUAACUAUUGGAAACGAUAGCUAAUACCGCAUAAUAGUAGAUGUUGCAUGACAUUUGCUUAAAAGGUGCAAUUGCAUCACUACCAGAUGGACCUGCGUUGUAUUAGCUAGUUGGUGGGGUAACGGCUCACCAAGGCGACGAUACAUAGCCGACCUGAGAGGGUGAUCGGCCACACUGGGACUGAGACACGGCCCAGACUCCUACGGGAGGCAGCAGUAGGGAAUCUUCGGCAAUGGACGGAAGUCUGACCGAGCAACGCCGCGUGAGUGAAGAAGGUUUUCGGAUCGUAAAGCUCUGUUGUAAGAGAGGAACGAGUGUGAGAGUGGAAAGUUCACACUGUGACGGUAGCUUACCAGAAAGGGACGGCUAACUACGUG
RNAcentral lists this ribosomal RNA (495 nucleotides) under uncultured bacterium. RNAcentral describes it as "partial 16S ribosomal RNA". It matches the Rfam family "Bacterial small subunit ribosomal RNA", at positions 28 to 507 of the family's 1533-position model. The record is from RNAcentral.